UUAAGCCUAGGAUGUUCGUUAAAGCCUUGAAAUUCAACCACCAAUAAGCAUCCGGGAGUCCAGGUUUUUAUGGCGAUGACGGGCCUCAAUAUAGUGGAAGUCAGAACUAUAGAAUAGGACACCCACCUAGGUGAUACCGGGUGUGAAUUUACAAGGUAACGACAUCUUGGGUAUAUA
RNAcentral lists this non-coding RNA (177 nucleotides) under Paramaledivibacter caminithermalis DSM 15212. RNAcentral describes it as "6S / SsrS RNA". It matches the Rfam family "6S / SsrS RNA". Rfam says of the family: E. coli 6S RNA was the first non coding RNA to be sequenced, but its function was unknown until recently. It consists of 184 nucleotides that fold into an extended hairpin structure with a large single-stranded internal bulge. The record is from Rfam by way of RNAcentral. Lineage: Bacteria; Bacillati; Bacillota; Clostridia; Peptostreptococcales; Caminicellaceae.